GUAGGAUGAAAACACUGGGGCUGAAAUGC
Molecule: non-coding RNA, 29 nt
Filed under: Homo sapiens (human)
Lineage: Eukaryota; Metazoa; Chordata; Mammalia; Primates; Hominidae
Source: RNAcentral